AAUUUUUAGUUUAAAAAAAACAUUAAAUUGCAAAUUUAAAAUUAUUAUAAAAUAAAAUUUUA
RNAcentral lists this transfer RNA (62 nucleotides) under Binodoxys acalephae. Its description in RNAcentral is "tRNA-Cys". Lineage: Eukaryota; Metazoa; Arthropoda; Insecta; Hymenoptera; Braconidae. The record is from RNAcentral.